Molecule: long non-coding RNA, 1529 nt
Organism: Scophthalmus maximus (turbot)
Lineage: Eukaryota; Metazoa; Chordata; Actinopteri; Pleuronectiformes; Scophthalmidae
Exons: 6
Source: RefSeq, a predicted model, not a curated record
GCCCUUAUAUUUGUUCCUCUCUCCUCUCCGGUUUGCCUUUGAUCCCGUCUCCUCAAACCUCUGCCCCAUGGGUCACCAGCUGUCAGACAGCCAGAGGAGGGUGCCGCCUCUCUUCUUAUCCGCACUUUUUUUUUUUGCCGUUUGGGAUCCGCACACCGUUUUGCACCCGGGGAAUCAUCUGGGAACCCCAGGGACAAGGAUGCAGAAGGCCAGGCCAUAUGGUAGAUGUCUCUUCGCCACCCUGACAAAGAGAGGACUCGGGGAAUGGGCCGCAGGGUCACUCCUUGACACCGACGGCCAUAGAGCGACAGCAAUUAUAUACAGGUUCGAAGAGGCUUGUGUCCGGGACGGAUGGAAAGACGAGGCCCAUGUAUCCCCUGGCACAGCAGAGGGAGGGACAGCGCCGCGUGGGUGAUAUAAGGUUCAUAAUCAAGACAACAAAUGCCCCACGUAGGCGAGUGUCGGCCGCUUCCUAGCGGGGAGUUUUGUGUGUAGGAGCCUUUGUCGAACCACAUCCAGGGCAGGAAAGAAGAGAAGAUGGAGGCAGCUCUAAUUAAAGCCAAAGGAAAGUGUCAUCUGCUGUGAACUCGCGACCAGGGGCCGCGGCAAAUCAAUGGACAGCCAGAACUGUCAUCAUCAUCAUCAACAGCUCCCGAUCAGAGCAAUUUGGAGGGCGAACAAAAAAGGAAUGAGAAAGACCCCGCCAGGAAGCUCCCUGCCACCUGUGCAGAGCCAGAGAGAGUGGGAGUCGGGGGAGAGACGCACGGGGAGAACAAAAUGGUGACUCCGCGGUUUCGAGCCACUGUGGAACGCCGGAGAUUCAUCGCUCCUUCGUUUUGGAACGGGGCAAUUUUGUCAUCAUCGCCGAGGACAUCUAUUUUGAUGAGCGACGGCGCAAUUGUGCGAACGUUGGCUGUGAUCAGAAUGAGCUAAUGACCCCGGUAAAAGAAAUAUAGAUUUUUUAUUUUUUUUUGGACGGCCCUUCGCUCCAGGAUCAGCGGGCUGCAUACGCUUGACGUCACUUCCUCAGGCCGCGAUGACGACACGAUUCCCGACACCUUCUCCUUGAGCAUCAGCCUCAGCACCAAGUUUUGCUGGGGUCAUGGUUUUGUGGGCACUGCUGCCUCUAGAUGUCACAUUGAGAACUACAGUCCCAUCACAAUUUGUGUUAUAGUUUUUUUUAAAGGUAAGACUUUUGCAGAUCUCCUUCAAACGCACACAUGCAGAUAAUUGCCUGGAAAAAAAAUAUCUUAAUUUUCUCAUAAUUUGACUCUGUUUCCAUUUGUCUAAGUAUAUUAUAGCGUAAUUCUAAGCCGACAGCUGGUCUCUCUCACAGUAAAAAAAAAUAAAUAACACAAGUCUUGUCUCACAUAAGUGAUUUCAAUUUUAUUUCUUUCCAAUGAAAGGAUAAAAAUAAGAGUGAAUGAAUUGCGGCUCUGAGGUUUAAUUGCUUUUUCAUGAUCCAGCAGUCCUGCAGGAAAAUGCGGCGUAAAAAAGCCCAAUUAGAGUCCUUUCACUUUGUGCCGCAG